UACGUAGGGUGCGAGCGUUGUUCGGAUUUACUGGGCGUAAAGGGUGCGUAGGCGGCUUGGUAAGUCAUCUGUGAAAUCUCCGAGCUUAACUCGGAACGGUCAGAUGAUACUGCUAAGCUAGAGUGCAGGAAGGGCAAUCGGAAUUCUUGGUGUAGCGGUGAAAUGCGUAGAUAUCAAGAGGAACACCUGAGGCGAAGGCGGGUUGCUAGACUGACACUGACGCUGAGGCACGAAAGCUAGGGGAGCAAACAGG
This 253-nucleotide ribosomal RNA is filed under the name uncultured bacterium. Its description in RNAcentral is "partial 16S ribosomal RNA". It matches the Rfam family "Bacterial small subunit ribosomal RNA", at positions 524 to 776 of the family's 1533-position model. The record is from RNAcentral.